RNAcentral lists this ribosomal RNA (505 nucleotides) under uncultured bacterium. RNAcentral's name for it is "partial 16S ribosomal RNA". It matches the Rfam family "Bacterial small subunit ribosomal RNA", at positions 28 to 507 of the family's 1533-position model. The record is from RNAcentral.
GACGAACGCUGGCGGCGUGCCUAAUACAUGCAAGUAGAACGCACAGUUUAUACCGUAGCUUGCUACACCAUAAACUGUGAGUUGCGAACGGGUGAGUAACGCGUAGGUAACCUGCCUGGUAGCGGGGGAUAACUAUUGGAAACGAUAGCUAAUACCGCAUAAUAUUAAUUAUUGCAUGAUAAUUGAUUGAAAGAUGCAAUUGCAUCACUACCAGAUGGACCUGCGUUGUAUUAGCUAGUAGGUGAGGUAACGGCUCACCUAGGCGACGAUACAUAGCCGACCUGAGAGGGUGCUCGGCCACACUUGGACUGAGACACGGCCCAGACUCCUACGGGAGGCAGCAGUAGGGAAUCUUCGGCAAUGGACGAAAGUCUGACCGAGCAACGCCGCGUGAGUGAAGAAGGUUUUCGGAUCGUAAAGCUCUGUUGUAAGAGAAGAACGGGUGUGAGAGUGGAAAGUUCACACUGUGACGGUAUCUUACCAGAAAGGGACGGCUAACUACGUG